Molecule: ribosomal RNA, 497 nt
Filed under: uncultured bacterium
Lineage: Bacteria
Description: partial 16S ribosomal RNA
Rfam family: Bacterial small subunit ribosomal RNA
Source: RNAcentral
GAUGAACGCUGGCGGCGUGCCUAAUACAUGCAAGUCGAGCGAACAGACGAGGAGCUUGCUCCUCUGACGUUAGCGGCGGACGGGUGAGUAACACGUGGAUAACCUACCUAUAAGACUGGGAUAACUUCGGGAAACCGGAGCUAAUACCGGAUAAUAUAUUGAACCGCAUGGUUCAAUAGUGAAAGACGGUUUUGCUGUCACUUAUAGAUGGAUCCGCGCCGCAUUAGCUAGUUGGUAAGGUAACGGCUUACCAAGGCAACGAUGCGUAGCCGACCUGAGAGGGUGAUCGGCCACACUGGAACUGAGACACGGUCCCGACUCCUACGGGAGGCAGCAGUAGGGAAUCUUCCGCAAUGGGCGAAAGCCUGACGGAGCAACGCCGCGUGAGUGAUGAAGGUCUUCGGAUCGUAAAACUCUGUUAUUAGGGAAGAACAAAUGUGUAAGUAACUAUGCACGUCUUGACGGUACCUAAUCAGAAAGCCACGGCUAAGUACGUG